Apis florea (little honeybee) is the source of this 305-nucleotide long non-coding RNA. The record is from RefSeq and is a predicted model, not a curated record. Lineage: Eukaryota; Metazoa; Arthropoda; Insecta; Hymenoptera; Apidae.
AUAUCCAAAAAAAAUUAAGAAUUGAUUAUGAAAUAUAAGAAAAUGGUUAAAUGUAGUUUCUAUUGGAAAAUAUGUGAAGUCAUUUUGUACCUGGAAAGAAGCUGUUAUAGCGGAAAGAACUUCAUAGAAAUGCUCCCAAGGGUGAUUUUUCGGUGGCCUGAAGGGGAUGACAAGAUAAUGUAAACCCAAAAGAGAUAUCAACUAAUAGAUAUUAAUUACCGAAAUGCCUGACGCAUAGAUCUCGAAGGUUGUGUACCAAUGCUAGGACCAGCUCUCAGCUUCAUUAAUAAAACUCGAACAAUGUU